UACGUAGGGGGCAAGCGUUAUCCGGAUUUACUGGGUGUAAAGGGAGCGCAGACGGCGAGGCAAGUCUGGAGUGAAAGGCCGGGGCUCAACCCCGGGACUGCUCUGGAAACUGCUUAGCUGGAGUGUCGGAGGGGUAAGCGGAAUUCCUAGUGUAGCGGUGAAAUGCGUAGAUAUUAGGAGGAACACCGGCGGCGAAGGCGGCUUACUGGACGAUAACUGACGUUGAGGCUCGAAAGCGUGGGGAGCAAAC
RNAcentral lists this ribosomal RNA (250 nucleotides) under uncultured prokaryote. Its description in RNAcentral is "partial 16S ribosomal RNA". It matches the Rfam family "Bacterial small subunit ribosomal RNA", at positions 524 to 773 of the family's 1533-position model. The record is from RNAcentral.